Helianthus annuus (common sunflower) is the source of this 748-nucleotide long non-coding RNA. RefSeq lists it as uncharacterized. The record is from RefSeq and is a predicted model, not a curated record. The transcript is spliced from 3 exons. Lineage: Eukaryota; Viridiplantae; Streptophyta; Magnoliopsida; Asterales; Asteraceae.
CCAAAAAUGAAAACUCAAUAAAACAAGUGAGGAUAAAUAACUGUAAUGCCCCAAAAUCUAAUAGUUGAUAAAUAAGGCAUUUACUAGAAUUAUGUGUGAAAUAACUUAACUAGGAUUAGUUAACCUAGUUUGUUUUUCUAUGUUAGUUACAAGAAGGAAAUAAAUAAAUUAUCAAAACUACAAGGGUUGAACUUGUACAUUUUAAUUAAAGUUUGGUUAAGUAGUGGAAGAUCACAAACAUCAGACAUAAGUCUGAUGUUGGUGUCGAUGCAAGCCAAGGGCCAAGAAGGGUUUCUCAUGAUGAUGAAAUGUUGAAGAAUUGAAGCAAAAUCCAGCCUUAAUUCUCUUGCAUGUGUAGAGAUUCUACAUCAAAAAGCAAUAUGAAACAUGUGUAUAGGGCUCAUGUCGAGAUGGAUGGAAGCAUAAAGGGCUAACGGGUCAUGAGGACAUGAGGAAACGAGAGCGAAUAUGGAUGCAUAAGGUAAAUCCUCAAUUUUGGUGACUUGGAGAAUCGGAGCGAGCGUGAGUUCAUGUUAUGCCAUACCAAAUGCUUCCGCUAGCUUGUUCAAAUGUUUUUGAUCCAAAAUUUGUUGUAUUGGUUUUUUUUAGUAGUAUCUUGUUGAACGAAUUCUAGAAUUGUAUCUAGUUUUGUUUAUGUUUAAAACAGGGGUAUGCUCGUUUUAUGGACGGGUCAUGCCCGAUUUUUGUUAAAUUAUAGUAUGAUAAUAUCACAUUUAGGAAGAUGAAA